This 84-nucleotide transfer RNA is filed under the name Genlisea aurea. It matches the Rfam family "tRNA". From Rfam's summary of the family: Transfer RNA (tRNA) molecules are approximately 80 nucleotides in length. Their secondary structure includes four short double-helical elements and three loops (D, anti-codon, and T loops). Lineage: Eukaryota; Viridiplantae; Streptophyta; Magnoliopsida; Lamiales; Lentibulariaceae. The record is from Rfam by way of RNAcentral.
GCAUUUAUGGCAGAGUGGACGAUCGCACGGGACUCAUAAUCUCGCUCUGAAAAGACGCCGCUGGUUCGAAUCCAGCUUGAUGCA